GGGAACGCGUGAGAAUCUAACUUCAGGACGGGGACAACAGUUGGAAACGACUGCUAAUACCCGAUGUGCCGCAAGGUGAAACAUAAUUGGCCUGAAGAAGAGCUUGCGUCUGAUUAGCUAGUUGGUGGGGUAAGAGCCUACCACGGCGACGAUCUGUAGCUGGUCUGAGAGGAUGAGCAGCCACACUGGGACUGAGACACGGCCCAGACUCUUACGGGAGGCAGCAGUGGGGAAUUUUCCGCAAUGGGCGAAAGCCCGACGGAGCAACGCCGCGUGAGGGAGGAAGGUCUUUGGAUUGUAAACCUCUUUUCUCAAGGAAGAAGUUCUGACGGUACUUGAGGAAUCAGCCUCGGCUAACUCCGUGCCAGCAGCCGCGGUAAUACGGGGGAGGCAAGCGUUAUCCGGAAUUAUUGGGCGUAAAGCGUCCGCAGGUGGUCAGCCAAGUCUGCUGUCAAAUCAGGUUGCUUAACGACCUAAAGGCGGUGGAAACUGGCAGACUAGAGAGCAGUAGGGGUAGCAGGAAUUCCCAGUGUAGCGGUGAAAUGCGUAGAGAUUGGAAGAACAUCGGGGCGAAAGCGUGCUACUGGCUGUUUGACACUCAG
RNAcentral lists this ribosomal RNA (602 nucleotides) under Microcystis aeruginosa LEGE 12461. RNAcentral describes it as "bacterial SSU rRNA". It matches the Rfam family "Bacterial small subunit ribosomal RNA", at positions 109 to 750 of the family's 1533-position model. Lineage: Bacteria; Bacillati; Cyanobacteriota; Cyanophyceae; Chroococcales; Microcystaceae. The record is from RNAcentral.